GUGGGGAAUCUUGCGCAAUGGGCGAAAGCCUGACGCAGCCAUGCCGCGUGAAUGAUGAAGGUCUUAGGAUUGUAAAAUUCUUUCACCGGGGACGAUAAUGACGGUACCCGGAGAAGAAGCCCCGGCUAACUUCGUGCCAGCAGCCGCGGUAAUACGAAGGGGGCUAGCGUUGCUCGGAAUUACUGGGCGUAAAGGGCGCGUAGGCGGACAGUUUAGUCAGAGGUGAAAGCCCAGGGCUCAACCUUGGAAUUGCCUUUGAUACUGGCUGUCUUGAGUACGGGAGAGGGGAGUGGAACUCCGAGUGUAGAGGUGAAAUUCGUAGAUAUUCGGAAGAACACCAGUGGCGAAGGCGACUCACUGGCCCGUUACUGACGCUGAGGCGCGAAAGCGUGGGGAGCAAACAGGAUUAGAAACCCUGGUAGUCC
RNAcentral lists this ribosomal RNA (425 nucleotides) under uncultured bacterium. RNAcentral's name for it is "partial 16S ribosomal RNA". It matches the Rfam family "Bacterial small subunit ribosomal RNA", at positions 354 to 796 of the family's 1533-position model. The record is from RNAcentral.